Molecule: ribosomal RNA, 253 nt
Filed under: uncultured bacterium
Lineage: Bacteria
Description: partial 16S ribosomal RNA
Rfam family: Bacterial small subunit ribosomal RNA
Source: RNAcentral
UACAGAGACUGCAAGCGUUAUUCGGAUUCACUGGGCGUAAAGGGUGCGCAGGCGGCCAAGUGUGUGAGGCGUGAAAGCCCGGGGCUUAACCCCGGAAUUGCACCUCAAACUACUUGGCUAGAGCAUUGGAGAGGGUAGCAGAAUUCACGGUGUGGCAGUGAAAUGCGUAGAUAUCGUGAGGAAUACCAGAGGCGAAGGCGGCUACCUGGACAAUUGCUGACGCUCAGGCACGAAAGCGUGGGGAGCAAAAGGG